RNAcentral lists this ribosomal RNA (170 nucleotides) under Eutrema altaicum. RNAcentral describes it as "5.8S ribosomal RNA". It matches the Rfam family "5.8S ribosomal RNA". Rfam says of the family: 5.8S ribosomal RNA (5.8S rRNA) is a component of the large subunit of the eukaryotic ribosome. It is transcribed by RNA polymerase I as part of the 45S precursor that also contains 18S and 28S rRNA. The record is from RNAcentral. Lineage: Eukaryota; Viridiplantae; Streptophyta; Magnoliopsida; Brassicales; Brassicaceae.
GUCUAAAACGACUCUCGGCAACGGAUAUCUCGGCUCUCGCAUCGAUGAAGAACGUAGCGAAAUGCGAUACUUGGUGUGAAUUGCAGAAUCCCGUGAACCAUCGAGUCUUUGAACGCAAGUUGCGCCCCAAGCCUUCUGGCCGAGGGCACGUCUGCCUGGGUGUCACAAAU